ACGCUCGACACCUACGGGAGGCCGCAGUGGGGAAUAUUGCACAAUGGGGGAAACCCUGAUGCAGCGACGCCGCGUGAGCGAAGAAGUAUUUCGGUAUGUAAAGCUCUAUCAGCAGGGAAGAAGAAAGACGGUACCUGACUAAGAAGCCCCGGCUAACUACGUGCCAGCAGCCGCGGUAAUCUGAGCGGGCUGGCAAGGC
Molecule: ribosomal RNA, 199 nt
Filed under: uncultured bacterium
Lineage: Bacteria
Description: partial 16S ribosomal RNA
Rfam family: Bacterial small subunit ribosomal RNA
Source: RNAcentral